This 1071-nucleotide long non-coding RNA is filed under the name Coturnix japonica (Japanese quail). Its description in RNAcentral is "lncRNA (ENSCJPG00005018601.1)". Lineage: Eukaryota; Metazoa; Chordata; Aves; Galliformes; Phasianidae. The record is from RNAcentral.
AUGGAGCCGACACGAGGCACUGAGUCACGGCAGCCCCCGCGUCACACGGCGCUAUCAGCUGCAGCGGGGUCAAGUGACCGCACAUCGGGACAUGAAAGCGCUGCGGAAAUGCCGGCAGCCGGAGCUGCUGAGCCGCACUUCCCCGUCCGCUCGCUCGGAGCCCGUUCCCGUCCACUCGCCCGCCUGGAGCAGCAGCGCACCCGCCCGGCCGCACCGCACCGCACCGCAUCGCACCCGCCGGGUCGCGCUGCCGCCGCCGGGGGGCACUGCGCCGCCGCCCGUAUCUCCCGCAGCCGGGAGGCGCAGGUCAGGCAGGUGGUGAUGCUUCACGCUGUUAUUCCAACAGAUAAAUGCGUGUCACCGCUCUUACAAAAGCAGCCGGUGGGGCGGCUCCCGUUUUCAGCUGCCGGCUGUCCGCAGACUCCUGUCUGCCUCGGAAAUGCUGCUGCCCACCUUCCCGAGCCCGGCUCCAGCUGCACACCCGCCAGCAGCGCUCAGCCAUCUCCACCUGCCCCCAGGCUUCGUGCUGGCACAAACUCACCUCACUGCUGCCAGCCUCAUGACUUUUCCACUUGCAGCUCCAGGCACUCGAUCCAGCCUGCCCUCACCAGCUGCGUGCUGCCCAUCUGGUUGCAAAGAGGGCACAGCAAAGGCAAACGUGUGCGUGUGCAGCCAGACAAGUGGCCUCCGUGGGAGCGUGGUGCCCCCAGGUGCUGCCAGUGUCAGGGUCAGGCUUCUCCCUGGGGCUGGGCUGCCCGCUGGGGCUCCUCGUCCCCCAGCACACUCAGGAGCGGGAUGCUGCUGCCAUCAGCUCUGGAGCAUGGAGGGGUGGUCACUUUGGAAGGUCACACAUCCUCUCUAUGGCCAGUCUGCUGGUCUGUGGCUGACAAAAGCUGGAUGGAUCAAAUCUCUUCCAACAGAUCUGCAUUAAAAAUGAAGUGCUGGUGCUUGACAGUCCCGCCAGAACUGAUGCAGGCUGCUGAGAGCCCUGGUUGCCUCAUAAACAGCAUCUUCCUACGUUGUCAGAGCAGCUUCUCCUCUAUGGGAAUAAAUAAGCGGUUACUUGAAUGA